UCUUGGUCAUUUAGAGGAAGUAAAAGUCGUAACAAGGUUUCCGUAGGUGAACCUGCGGAAGGAUCAUUAAAGAAUCAAACCCCGUUUCUUGAAAUGGGUUCUAUUCUAACCCGUGUAUACAUACCUUUGUUGCUUUGGCGGGCCGCCUUCGGGCGUUGGCUCCGGCUAACCGUGCCCGCCAGAGGACCCAAACUCUUUUGUUUAGUGAUGUCUGAGUACUAUAUAAUAGUUAAAACCUUCAACAACGGAUCUCUUGGUUCUGGCAUCGAUGAAGAACGCAGCGAAAUGCGAUAAGUAAUGUGAAUUGCAGAAUUCAGUGAAUCAUCGAAUCUUUGAACGCACAUUGCGCCCGCCAGUAUUCUGGCGGGCAUGCCUGUCCGAGCGUCAUUUCCCCCCUCACGCGCCCCGUUGCGCGCCGGUGUUGGGGCCCCUCCGCCUGGCGGAGGGCCCCGAAAGCGAGUGGCGGGCCCGGCUGGCUGGCUCCGAGCGCAGUACCGAACGCAAGUUCUCCCCUCGCUCAGACGCCCCGCCGGCGCCCUGCCGUCAAAACGCGCAUGACGUGCAACUCUUUUACAAGGUUGACCUCGGAUCAGGUAGGACUACCCGCUGAACUUAAGCAUAUCAAUAAGCGGAGGA
Molecule: ribosomal RNA, 636 nt
Filed under: Ophiostomataceae sp. RB-2011
Lineage: Eukaryota; Fungi; Ascomycota; Sordariomycetes; Ophiostomatales; Ophiostomataceae
Description: eukaryotic LSU rRNA
Rfam family: 5.8S ribosomal RNA (bases 234-387)
Source: RNAcentral